GGUCAAGCGAAUAAGCGCACACGGUGGAUGCCUUGGCGGUCAGAGGCGAUGAAGGACGUGGCAGCCUGCGAAAAGUAUCGGGGAGCUGGCAACAAGCUUUGAUCCGGUAAUGUCCGAAUGGGGAAACCCACCCGCUUGCGGGUAUCCUGCAGUGAAUACAUAGCUGCUGGAAGCGAACCUGGUGAACUGAAAUAUCUAAGUAACCAGAGGAAAAGAAAUCAACCGAGAUUCCGUAAGUAGCGACGAGCGAACGCGGACUAGCCCUUAAG
This 269-nucleotide ribosomal RNA is filed under the name Stenotrophomonas maltophilia. RNAcentral describes it as "partial 23S ribosomal RNA". It matches the Rfam family "Bacterial large subunit ribosomal RNA", at positions 1 to 275 of the family's 2925-position model. Lineage: Bacteria; Pseudomonadati; Pseudomonadota; Gammaproteobacteria; Lysobacterales; Lysobacteraceae. The record is from RNAcentral.